Molecule: long non-coding RNA, 1105 nt
Organism: Bombus pascuorum
Lineage: Eukaryota; Metazoa; Arthropoda; Insecta; Hymenoptera; Apidae
Exons: 3
Source: RefSeq, a predicted model, not a curated record
CAUUACAUCUUCUCAUGUUUCCCAAGUCAACCUCCAUAAUUUGUUACGUGUAUAUGGCCAAUAAUUUUUCAUAUUACACGAUAAACACGUUACUGUUAAAUAUAUACAAGAUAGAGAUCGAUAUGAUUCAAAGAAAUCAAAGACUUGGUAGCAACGAAUAUUAUAUUACUGGUAGAUAAUUACAUGUACUUAUGUGUUAUGUUAAUAUCGCAAAAAGUAUAAAAUGUUUGGUAUAAUACUAGGUAUCAAAGUAUGAAAAACGGAAUAAUGUCUGAAACAAUUUAUAUUAAAAAUUUUAUCAUUCGGAUAAUUAGUAGCUUAUCAAAGUACAAUAUUGCGCAACAGAGUUAACAGCAGAAAGAUAAACAAGCAUCGAUGUCAUCUUCUAUUUUUAUCUUUAAUUUUCAAGCGUUUUCUAUGACGAGACUAUGAAAUCUAGAUAGACAUGCGCGUUUUACGAUGUGAUUGCUAUAAAAAUAGCAGAUACACGAAUCAAAUUAUCCAGAGUUAACUUUCUAGAAAAUAAAUCUUCUUGACUUGCUUAAAUUCACGAGAAAUAAAAUUGCAGUCAUUUGAGAAGAUCUAUUCCCAGGACAUUCUACGUUUUCAAACUUAUGCGCGCGUGCAAUUCACGAUGCUUUAUAUUCUUCUCUUUCAACGCCUACUCAUCUUCGUGCAAAAACUGGAUGGAAUACUAGCCUAUGUAGCUCGCAAUAGUAUCGCAUAACAAAAGAUCCUGAUGCAACACGACUCGUGUAGAAAAUGCUUUACACUUUUGAAGCUAACCCUACGCUACGAAAUACUACUAUUCAACGACUUCGUGAUGCGUCCAACUAAACCUGAAGUAGUACGGAAAAUAAAGUAUACAUCUACAAGGUGCCCAUGUUGGACAAAGCGUACAAGUUAAUAUAAGAGAGAUUGUAUUACUCGUGCGUUGCGGUCGGAAGCAGAAUGCUGAGAAACGCUGCACCACGGUUAUUAAGCACACUGUUAAUUUUACUCAGGAAGGAAUAAAGAGAUUGUCUAGUGGUAGUCUGACAGGGAGGGUUUCACUUCCUCGAGAACCAAUUUCCUGUAACUGUAACAUUCGAUGCAGUAAUGAAUC